ACUUGAAUAGCUUAUUUGGUUUAGAGCGUGACACUGAAGAUGUCGAUGAGGUAUUUUGUUACCUUUAAGUA
Molecule: transfer RNA, 71 nt
Filed under: Macrotermes vitrialatus
Lineage: Eukaryota; Metazoa; Arthropoda; Insecta; Blattodea; Termitidae
Description: tRNA-Phe
Source: RNAcentral